GAUGAACGCUGGCGGUGUGCCUAAUACAUGCAAGUCGAGCGACCGGACGAGAAGCUUGAUUUUCUGAUGUUAGCGGCGCACGUGUGAGUCACAUAUGGAUAAUCCACCUAUAAGACUGGGAAAACUUCGGGAAACCGGCGCUUAUACCGGAUGAUAUUUUGAACCCCAGGGUUCAAAAGUGAAAGACGGUCUUGCUGUCAAUUAUCGUUGGUACCGCGCUGCAUUUGCUAGUUGGUCAGGUAACGGCUUACCAAGGCAAUGAUGCAUAGCCGACCUGAGAGGAGGAUCGGCCACACUGGAACGGAAACGCGAUCCAGACUCCUACGGUAGGCAGCAGAAGGGAAUCUAACACAAUGGACGGGAGCAUGGCGUAACAAAGCCGCGUGGGGGAUAAAAGUCUUCGGAUAGGAAAUGUCUGUUAUUAGUGAAGAACAUUUAUGUAAGUAACUGGGCACAUAUUGACGGUACCUAGUCAGAAAGCCACGGCUAACUACGUG
RNAcentral lists this ribosomal RNA (497 nucleotides) under uncultured bacterium. RNAcentral's name for it is "partial 16S ribosomal RNA". It matches the Rfam family "Bacterial small subunit ribosomal RNA", at positions 28 to 507 of the family's 1533-position model. The record is from RNAcentral.